AGAGACAGCAGUCGCCACGGGAAUACGAGGGGGGCAAGCGUUGUUCGGAUUUAUUGGGCGUAAAGGGUGCGUAGGCGGUUUGGCAAGUCUUGUGUGAAAUCUUCGGGCUCAACCCGAAGCCUGCACGAGAAACUACCGGGCUUGAGUAUUGGAGAGGUGAGUGGAAUUUCCGGCGUAGCGGUGAAAUGCGUAGAUAUCGGAAGGAACACCUGUGGCGAAAGCGGCUCACUGGACAAUAACUGACGCUGAUGCACGAAAGCUAGGGGAGCAAACAGGAUUAGAUACCCGAGUAGUCCCUGUCUCUUAUAC
This 309-nucleotide ribosomal RNA is filed under the name uncultured bacterium. Its description in RNAcentral is "partial 16S ribosomal RNA". It matches the Rfam family "Bacterial small subunit ribosomal RNA", at positions 504 to 807 of the family's 1533-position model. The record is from RNAcentral.